UACAUAGUUAAAGGUACAGGUGCCCGCAAAGGCUUCAUAGAAAAGCCGGUAAAAGGCCGGCAUGGUCACGCCACUGUAACGGGGAGCAAUCUCGCAUAGUUGCCACUGAAGUAAAUCACUUUGGGAAGGAGCGGGAAAGCCAUGAACCGGAGUCAGGAGAACUGCCUAUUUGACAAUCAUCAU
RNAcentral lists this non-coding RNA (183 nucleotides) under Sporomusa sphaeroides. RNAcentral also lists the same sequence under 1 other name. The record is from RNAcentral. Lineage: Bacteria; Bacillati; Bacillota; Negativicutes; Selenomonadales; Sporomusaceae.